This 467-nucleotide ribosomal RNA is filed under the name uncultured bacterium. RNAcentral's name for it is "partial 16S ribosomal RNA". It matches the Rfam family "Bacterial small subunit ribosomal RNA", at positions 28 to 507 of the family's 1533-position model. The record is from RNAcentral.
GAUGAACGCUGGCGGCGCGCCUAACACAUGCAAGUCGAACGAUUAAAGCACCUUCGGGUGUGUAUAAAGUGGCGAACGGCUGAGUAACACGUGGGCAACCUGCCCCUUUCAUUGGGAUAGCCACGGGAAACCGUGGAUAAUACCGAAUACUUCGAGACUUCCGCAUGGAAGACUCGAGAAAGCUCCGGCGGGGAGGGAUGGGCCCGCGGCCUGUUAGCUUGUUGGUGGGGUAACGGCCUACCAAGGCAAUGCUGGGUAGCUGGGUUGAGAGACCGACCAGCCAGAUUGGGACUGAGACACGGCCCAGACUCCUACGGGAGGCAGCAGUGGGGAAUCUUGCACAAUGGGCGAAAGCCUGAUGCAGCGACGCCGCGUGCGGGAUGAAGGCCUUCGGGUUGUAAACCGCUUUCAGCAGGGACGAGGCGAAAGUGACGGUACCUGCAGAAGAAGCCCCGGCUAACUACGUG